This 381-nucleotide long non-coding RNA is filed under the name Daucus carota (carrot). RNAcentral's name for it is "long non-coding RNA (DCAR_LNC001419)". The record is from RNAcentral. Lineage: Eukaryota; Viridiplantae; Streptophyta; Magnoliopsida; Apiales; Apiaceae.
UGGCACUAGCUGCUAACCCCUCUUCAGUCACAGCUUUCAAUUCCAUCAUCAAAGCACAUCUCUUAGCAACUCUAGCAGCUUCUCAUAAAUAGGCACUAUAUAUUUUCUUUCUCCUAGCUGUUCUGCAACAACAUAGAAAGAUAAAUAUUGGGUACUCAAAAGAGAAAAAAAAGGCAGUUUAAGAUAAAAUCGUACUAAACAUGACAAAGUUGACAGGGUAUUAUGGUAUUAUACUGGUGGUAGGUCUCAUAGUGUUGAAUUUUGUCGCUGAGGGAGCUGAUCCCUUAGAGAAGGAGUGUGCAGAUAACUUUCAGAAAUUGACAGAUUGCCUUGGUUACGCCACUGGCAAAGGAACCACCCCGACAGACGGAUGUUGCAAGU